RNAcentral lists this ribosomal RNA (560 nucleotides) under uncultured Methylobacterium sp. RNAcentral's name for it is "bacterial SSU rRNA". It matches the Rfam family "Bacterial small subunit ribosomal RNA", at positions 121 to 715 of the family's 1533-position model. Lineage: Bacteria; Pseudomonadati; Pseudomonadota; Alphaproteobacteria; Hyphomicrobiales; Methylobacteriaceae. The record is from RNAcentral.
GGAACGUGCCCUUCGGUUCGGAAUAACUCAGGGAAACUUGAGCUAAUACCGGAUACGCCCUUUUGGGGAAAGGUUUACCGCCGAAGGAUCGGCCCGCGUCUGAUUAGCUAGUUGGUGGGGUAACGGCCUACCAAGGCGACGAUCAGUAGCUGGUCUGAGAGGAUGAUCAGCCACACUGGGACUGAGACACGGCCCAGACUCCUACGGGAGGCAGCAGUGGGGAAUAUUGGACAAUGGGCGCAAGCCUGAUCCAGCCAUGCCGCGUGAGUGAUGAAGGCCUUAGGGUUGUAAAGCUCUUUUGUCCGGGACGAUAAUGACGGUACCGGAAGAAUAAGCCCCGGCUAACUUCGUGCCAGCAGCCGCGGUAAUACGAAGGGGGCUAGCGUUGCUCGGAAUCACUGGGCGUAAAGGGCGCGUAGGCGGCCGAUUAAGUCGGGGGUGAAAGCCUGUGGCUCAACCACAGAAUUGCCUUCGAUACUGGUUGGCUUGAGACCGGAAGAGGACAGCGGAACUGCGAGUGUAGAGGUGAAAUUCGUAGAUAUUCGCAAGAACACCAGUGG